This 1008-nucleotide ribosomal RNA is filed under the name human gut metagenome. Its description in RNAcentral is "bacterial LSU rRNA". It matches the Rfam family "Bacterial large subunit ribosomal RNA", at positions 1919 to 2925 of the family's 2925-position model. The record is from RNAcentral.
CCCAGUAAACGGCGGCCGUAACUAUAACGGUCCUAAGGUAGCGAAAUUCCUUGUCAGGUAAGUUCUGACCCGCACGAAAGGCGUAACGAUUUGGGCGCUGUCUCGGCAGCAGACUCGGUGAAAUCUUAGUACCUGUGAAAAUGCAGGUUACCCGCAACUAGACGGAAAGACCCCAUGGAGCUUUACUGUAGCCUGAUAUUGAAUUUUGAUCAAAGAUGUACAGGAUAGGUGGGAGGCGAAGAGACGUGUACGCCAGUAUACGAGGAGCCGCUGUUGGGAUACCACUCUUGUUUGAUUGAAGUUCUAACCUGCACCCAUGAACUGGGUGAGGGACCGUGUCAGGUGGGCAGUUUGACUGGGGCGGUCGCCUCCUAAAGAGUAACGGAGGCGCCCAAAGGUACGCUCAGAUUGGAUGGAAAUCAAUCGACGAGUGCAAAUGCAGAAGCGUGCUUGACUGUGAGACAAACAAGUCGAACAGGGACGAAAGUCGGGAUUAGUGAUCCGGCGGUGCCGAAUGGAAGGGCCGUCGCUCAACGGAUAAAAGCUACCCUGGGGAUAACAGGCUGAUCUCGCCCAAGAGUUCACAUCGACGGCGAGGUUUGGCACCUCGAUGUCGGCUCAUCGCAUCCUGGAGCUGAAUUCGGUUCCAAGGGUUGGGCUGUUCGCCCAUUAAAGCGGUACGCGAGCUGGGUUCAGAACGUCGUGAGACAGUUCGGUCCCUAUCUGUUGUGGGCGUUGGAGAUCUGAGGAGAGCUGUCCUUAGUACGAGAGGACCGGGAUGGACCUACCGCUGGUGCACCAGUUGUUCCGCCAGGAGCAUAGCUGGGUAGCUAAGUAGGGAAGGGAUAAGCGCUGAAAGCAUCUAAGCGCGAAGCCUACUCCAAGAUGAGAUCUCCCAUUCGUAUAACGAAGUAAGACCCCUUGAAGACGACGAGGUGGAUAGGUCAGAGAUGGAAGUGUAGCGAUACAUGGAGUUGACUGAUACUAAUAGGUCGAGGACUUAAUCAC